RNAcentral lists this ribosomal RNA (129 nucleotides) under Streptocarpus primulifolius. Its description in RNAcentral is "partial 28S ribosomal RNA". It matches the Rfam family "Eukaryotic large subunit ribosomal RNA", at positions 1 to 128 of the family's 3401-position model. The record is from RNAcentral. Lineage: Eukaryota; Viridiplantae; Streptophyta; Magnoliopsida; Lamiales; Gesneriaceae. RNAcentral also lists the same sequence under 1 other name.
GCGACCCCAGGUCAGGCGGGAUCACCCGCUGAGUUUAAGCAUAUCAAUAAGCGGAGGAGAAGAAACUUACAAGGAUUCCCUUAGUAACGGCGAGCGAACCGGGAAUAGCCCAACUUGAGAAUCGGGCGG